GAUAGCACAGUUGUAAUCAAAGCUUCAAACCUUGGGCAUUUGAUGCCAAUAGCUAUACUCUUAACCGCUGUGAUCUUCUCUCCCAUGGACAGGACGGUCCUGGGCUUUACUGUUACAGAGGAAGUUGGACAAGAAACAAAUAAAUGAACAAGCAAGAGAACUGUCUGAGAGAGAUUGUAUACAAGUGUUGUGAAGAGACUUAAAAUAUGCAGGCUGGAUAAGGAGUACUGAGGUUUGGGCUGGUGCUCUGAAAGACUUUCUGUCCUGAGGCCGUUUUCCAGCACAAUUUCACAGUUUCUCACUCAAAGGAGAAUAGAAUCCAACAAACAUAUUGUAACCAAUACACUAAAAAUUAUGUGGAUGUGGAAUCAAGAAAUAUAAUGUCAUGUUCCUAGAUGAAAGGCACAAUCCUGGAGGGGCUACCAGUGCCAUCACAAGCUCCUUCCAGAUGUGAUGACUCUCCUCUGCUGAAGUCUAGGUUGUCGUAACACGCUGGAGUGUGCUGUCCAUGGUGCUGAGGAGCCAGUGCCAAAUAUACCCCUGCUACAAAAUCCUCUCCCUUCUGGCCAAGUGAUCGAUUAGAUGGAGCAGCAUCAAACUCUGCAUUUCAGAGCUUUGCAGGGGCCUGGAGACGGCUAUAAAAG
Molecule: long non-coding RNA, 644 nt
Filed under: Equus caballus (horse)
Lineage: Eukaryota; Metazoa; Chordata; Mammalia; Perissodactyla; Equidae
Description: lncRNA (ENSECAG00000045681.1)
Source: RNAcentral